RNAcentral lists this long non-coding RNA (3230 nucleotides) under Monodelphis domestica (gray short-tailed opossum). Lineage: Eukaryota; Metazoa; Chordata; Mammalia; Didelphimorphia; Didelphidae. The record is from RNAcentral.
AAAAGGGAGAAGGGCUCACACUCACCUUGUUUUGGCUCACUACAAAAUCAGACUCUGUAACCAACCAGACUGAACUCUAGGCAGCCUUGACCUUGAAGAUCUGUGUUGUGCUCCAUCUCAGAUAUGGUGGGAAAACAUUCAUCACAGUGUGGUGCAAAGAGCACUGGAUUUGGAGAUAGAGAAUCUGGGUUUGAAUCCAUUGCCAUCUACAUGUAAGAUCUUGGGAAAUCAUUUCCUUUCUCAGGGUCUCAGUCUUCUUGUCUGUAAAACGAGAGGCAGAGCAGCAAGGGAGCACAGUGGAGAACCAGGCUUAGAGUCAGGAAGUCCUGGGUUCAAAUAUGGCCUCAUAUACUUCCUGGAAUGUAGCAAAAAGAAUCUCUUCUGGAUGAACCAGUAUGCCUCCAAAACAGAGCAGCCUGUUCCAAAGCAAUCAUCACCACAUGUCCAGUUGUACCACAAAGAGAACAGUGGCCAAAGGAAAUUUCCCAGAGAAAGAAGUUCAUUGAGUAGGUGAGUCCAUGUGAUCUUAGUUGGGAGUUUGUUCUUUGUUAUUGAAUGAUUAGCUUUUAUUGUGCUUCCCAGAAAGCAAAGAAAUUGAGCCUGCAGAUUACCAGGAGGAAAGUGGGUGUUAUACAGCCUCCCUUUUCAACAUAACUUAAUGGUGAGCAAGGACAGUAAUUAUGCUCAAUCUCCUCUGCUUCAACAAUCAAAGUGGAGUUGUUCCCAUAAGUUGUUAAGUAUUAAGUCGAACUAAUUUAAAUCAAAAAACCAUUGGCUAAGCAGUAGAGGAGUAUUAAAUAAGGGAGAGAGUCCAAAUCCCCCUCUAAAAUAGCUCUUCCAAGGAACUGCUGAUUAUCAUCCAGGUGAGAUACCUGAUUAGGAUCAAAUUGCCCUCCCCACAUCAUGUCUCAGCUCAUUGCAGCAGUGUUUGAAGGGCACCUCAGAAGGCCACAUGUAACAAGCUGACUUCUCUGGCUUGAGAACCAAGAAUGUUCUUUAGGAAAGAGGAUAUCCAGUGCUUCUUUUGACCCCACUUCCAAAAGGAAAAUAUUCCUCAGUCACUUCCUGGAAACUUGAAGCUCAGGAUUUCCCUCUUAUGUGGGUACAGAAGUCUUCAAGAUUUGCUCUGGUUAUUUGGUUUCUCCCAGGCAGCCAUUGGAACCUCAGCAGCUGAUAACAUACAUUUCUAGUUGAAAAAGAAAGUCCAAUAACUAGAAGGUGAAGCAGUGGAUAGAGCAAUGGGCCUGGAUUCAGGAAGGCUCAUCUUCCUGAGUUCAAAUCUGGCCUCAGAUGCUUACUAGCUGGGUGACUCUGGGCAAGUCAUUUAAUUUUGUUUUCCUUAUCUAUAAAAUGAGCUGGGCAAGGAAAUGGCAAACCACUCGAGUUUCCUCUUCCAAGAAAACCACAAAUGGUGCUUGCUUCGGCAACACACAUACUAAAUUUGGAAUGAUACAGAGAAGAUUUGCAUGACACACAAAUUCAUGAAGCAUUCCAUAAUUUUGACCAAGAAAAACUCAGAAAAACCUGGAAAAACUUAUAUGAAUUGAAGCCGAGUGAAAAGAGCAGAACCAGAACAUUGUACACAGAGACAGGAAUACUGUACAGUGAACAACUGAAUGACUUAGCUAUUCUCAGCAAAUAAUGAUCCAAAUCAAUCUUAAAGGACUCAUGUUAAAAAUGUCAUAUGUUGGGGGCAGCUGAGUAGCUCAGUGAAUUGAGAACCAGGCCUAGAGACGGGAGGUCCUAGGUUCAAAUCUGGCCUCAGACACUUCCCAGCUGUGUGACCCUGGGCAAGUCACUUGACCUCCAUUGCCUAGCCCUUACCUCUUUUCUGCCUUGGAACCAACACACAGUAUUGACUCCAAGGCAGAAGUUAAGGGCUUAAAAAAAAAAUUUUUUUUAAUUAAAAAAUAAUGCCAUCUGUUUCCAGAGAAGGAACUGAUGAAGUCUGAAUCCCAACCAAAGCAAACCUUUUUCACUUUCUUUCUUUAAAAUGUUUUUGGAUCAUGUGUGCUUCCACAAAAGGAUUAGUAUGAAAAAAUGUUUUACAUGAUGACUGUACAUGUAAAAUCUAUAUGAUUGCUUACUAUCUGGUGGAGAUGGGGGUGGAGAAAAGAAAAGACUUCAAAACUCAAAAUUCCUUUUAAAAUGUUGAAAACUGUUUUUAUAUGUAAUUGGGGGAAAAUUAAAUUAAAUUAAAAUUUAAGAAAAAAGGGGGCAGCUGGGUGGCUCAGUGGAUUGAGAGCCAAGUCUAGAGAUGGAAGGUCUUGGGUUCAAAUCUGGCCUCAGACACUUCCCAGCUGUGUGACCCUGAGCAAGUCACUUAACCCCCAUUGCCUAGCCCUUACUGCUCUUCUAUCUUGGAACCAAUACACAGUAUUGAUUCUAAGACAGAAGGUAAGGAUUUUUUUUUUAAUUAAGAAAAAAGAAAACCCCAAAUGGGUUUUUUUCUGAACAACAAAAGAAGUCCUGAACUUCAGGGCAUAAGAGAUGAGAAGCAGGUAUGUAUUGCUCAUAUCCUCUACCCUCAUUGAGGUCUUCCCAGACUACCCCAGUCUAUAAAUAAUAUUAACAACAGCUAACGUGUAGAUGGCACUUUGAAGUCAGGGGCUAUUACCUCCCUACCUGUAAGGUAGAAAGACAUUCUUUCCUCAAUGAACCCAUUUCUUGAUUCAUAAUCUUUUCUCCUCCUGCCUUCAUACUAGGAAACUUCAGCAUACAUACAGCCACACACAAAGUUAUAACCUUGAUCUUGCCAUCACUCACACAGCACUACUUCCAUGUUCAUGAAAUAUGAAAAUCCUUUAUCUGAUUACAAACUGUUCUUAUUCCAACUGCCCUCUACCUCAAAUCUCCAAAUUCCAUUUUCUAUCUAUACCCUAACCUCCAAUUCCUUGACUCUUCUAUUGUCCUCAUCAUCCUCAUUCUAGGUACAUUCUCUUCUCUUCCCCAUCAUUUCCUUCCACUACAAUAUAUGCUACAUAACCUCAACUGGGACCUCACUGUUACCAGGCAAUCUUUUAACAUCACCCUAAUUUUCUCACAAUUUCACUCAUUACAGUGGUUCUUCCAGAUCUUUUCUUCUCUCCUCAAAUCUCCCAUGGUUCCCCAUUCCCCUACACCCUGAGGUGGAAAUCUAGUUUACUAUUAUGAUUUUUUAAAUUGAGGCAUUAUUAACACCUCUCUAAAUUAUUCUUAUUAUAUUAAUAAAUAAAUAUCAUGACUAGUCA